CCCUACGGGGGGCAGCAGUAGGGAAUAUUGCUCAAUGGGGGAAACCCUGAAGCAGCAACGCCGCGUGGAGGAUGAAGGUUUUAGGAUUGUAAACUCCUUUUGUUAGAGAAGAUUAUGACGGUAUCUAACGAAUAAGCACCGGCUAACUCCGUGCCAGCAGCCGCGGUAAUACGGAGGGUGCAAGCGUUACUCGGAAUCACUGGGCGUAAAGAGUGCGUAGGCGGGGUAAUAAGUCAGAUGUGAAAUCCUGUAGCUUAACUACAGAAUUGCAUCAGAAACUGUUUAACUUGAGUGCGGAAGAGGAG
This 305-nucleotide ribosomal RNA is filed under the name uncultured bacterium. RNAcentral's name for it is "bacterial SSU rRNA". It matches the Rfam family "Bacterial small subunit ribosomal RNA", at positions 337 to 659 of the family's 1533-position model. The record is from RNAcentral.